This 401-nucleotide ribosomal RNA is filed under the name uncultured bacterium. RNAcentral's name for it is "bacterial SSU rRNA". It matches the Rfam family "Bacterial small subunit ribosomal RNA", at positions 29 to 416 of the family's 1533-position model. The record is from RNAcentral.
AACGAACGCUGGCGGCGUGGAUAAGACAUGCAAGUCGAACGGGAUUAUUUUUGUAGCAAUACAGAAAUAAUUCAGUGGCGAACGGGUGCGUAACACGUGGGCAAUCUGCCGAAAAGUGGGGGAUAGCUCGCCGAAAGGCGAAUUAAUACCGCAUGUGGUGAGGGACGACAUCUUCCUGAAUCCAAAGCCGGGGCAACCUGGCGCUUUUUGAGGAGCCCGCGGCCUAUCAGCUAGUUGGCGGGGUAACGGCCCACCAAGGCUAUGACGGUAGCUGGUCUGAGAGGACGACCAGUCACACUGGAACUGAGACACGGUCCAGACACCUACGGGUGGCAGCAGUGGGGAAUCUUGCGCAAUGGGCGAAAGCCUGACGCAGCGACGCCGCGUGAGGGAUGACGGCU